RNAcentral lists this ribosomal RNA (450 nucleotides) under uncultured bacterium. RNAcentral describes it as "partial 16S ribosomal RNA". It matches the Rfam family "Bacterial small subunit ribosomal RNA", at positions 338 to 795 of the family's 1533-position model. The record is from RNAcentral.
CCUACGGGUGGCUGCAGUGGGGAAUAUUGGACAAUGGGCGCAAGCCUGAUCCAGCAAUGCCGCGUGUGUGAAGAAGGCCUGCGGGUUGUAAAGCACUUUAAGCCGGAAAGAAGGCUGCAAGGCUAAUAUCCUUGUAGAUUGACGUUACCGGCAGAAUAAGCACCGGCUAACUCCGUGCCAGCAGACGCGGUAAUACGGAGGGUGCGAGCGGUAAGCAGAGCUACUGGGGGUAAAGCGUGGGGUCCGGGGUGAAAGCCCUGGGCUUAACCUGGGAACUGCAGUGGAAACUGGCGGGCUAGAGUAUGGUAGAGGAGAGUGGAAUUUCCGGUGUAGCAGUGAAAUGCGUAGAGAUCGGAAGGAACACCAGUGGCGAAGGCGGCUCUCUGGACCAAUACUGACGCUGAGGUGCGAAAGCGUGGGGAGCAAACAGGAUUAGAUACCCGAGUAGUC